Molecule: long non-coding RNA, 528 nt
Organism: Puntigrus tetrazona (Sumatra barb)
Lineage: Eukaryota; Metazoa; Chordata; Actinopteri; Cypriniformes; Cyprinidae
Exons: 4
Source: RefSeq, a predicted model, not a curated record
CUGUAUUUGUCUCCACCACUGACCAGAAUAUUCAUUCAGCUGACAAUGAUGCAGCGACACUAUGUCUACUUGAGGGUUGCAGCAUUAAACCAACGCAUACUGCGCCUGGUUAAACUGGAUUGCAGGUGGUUGAAGAGGCUGUUUAGUGAAUCCCCCCACAGAGAUCAAAGCUUUAGGUCCUUGGGACUUUACAGGAGGUAUCUGUGCCGCUGAAAACGUGUCCUCCGAACCCUAGAGAGAAGCAGAAGGAAGCAUCGAGUGUCGACGGAAUGACAGUAAAAAAUGGAGCCAUGGAAACGACUCUCCCAUGUGUUGAUUGGAUUCUGCCAGCUCAUCCUUGCUGUGCAUAUUAAUUAGGAAGAAAGGCGACCCACUGUGCCCUGGAUCACACUGUGCACUUGUCCUUUUGGGAGAGAGAGAGAGAGAGGAGGAGAGAGAGGCUGUUUUUUGACGUAGUAUACCUCUCCUGCAGGUGUCAGUGCUGCACCGUGGUCUGGGGGAUUGACUGCAAUGCAUCAUGGGAGAGUG